CCUUCGUAGGUGAACCUGCGGAAGGAUCAUUAG
This 33-nucleotide ribosomal RNA is filed under the name Trichosporon asahii. RNAcentral describes it as "partial 18S ribosomal RNA". The record is from RNAcentral. Lineage: Eukaryota; Fungi; Basidiomycota; Tremellomycetes; Trichosporonales; Trichosporonaceae.